GACGAACGCUGGCGGCGUGCUUAACACAUGCAAGUCGAACGGAAAGGCCUUUUCGGAGGUACUCGAGUGGCGAACGGGUGAGUAACACGUGGGUGAUCUGCCCUGCACUCUGGGAUAAGCCUGGGAAACUGGGUCUAAUACCGGAUAGGACCGCACUUUAGUGUGUGUGGUGGAAAGUUUUUUCGGUGUAGGAUGAGCCCGCGGCCUAUCAGCUUGUUGGUGGGGUAAUGGCCUACCAAGGCGGCGACGGGUAGCCGGACUGAGAGGUUGGUCGGCCACAUUGGGACUGAGAUACGGCCCAGACUCCUACGGGAGGCAGCAGUGGGGAAUAUUGCACAAUGGGCGCAAGCCUGAUGCAGCGACGCCGCGUGGGGGAUGACGGCCUUCGGGUUGUAAACUCCUUUCGCUAGGGACGAAGCGUUUUGUGACGGUACCUGGAGAAGAAGCACCGGCUAACUACGUG
This 463-nucleotide ribosomal RNA is filed under the name uncultured bacterium. RNAcentral's name for it is "partial 16S ribosomal RNA". It matches the Rfam family "Bacterial small subunit ribosomal RNA", at positions 28 to 507 of the family's 1533-position model. The record is from RNAcentral.